UACGGAGGGUGCAAGCGUUAUCCGGAAUCAUUGGGUUUAAAGGGUCCGCAGGCGGGCUGAUAAGUCAGAGGUGAAAUCCCACAGCUUAACUGUGGAACUGCCUUUGAAACUGUUAGUCUUGAAUUAAGAUGGCGUUGGCGGAAUAGGUCAUGUAGCGGUGAAAUGCAUAGAUAUGACCUAGAACACCGAAAGCGAAGGCAGCUAACGAAUCUUAUAUUGACGCUCAUGGACGAAAGCGUGGGUAGCGAACAGG
This 253-nucleotide ribosomal RNA is filed under the name uncultured bacterium. Its description in RNAcentral is "partial 16S ribosomal RNA". It matches the Rfam family "Bacterial small subunit ribosomal RNA", at positions 524 to 776 of the family's 1533-position model. The record is from RNAcentral.